AAAAAGGACAUGCAGGUUAUAUUAAUCUUCAUGUAAGAAAUCCAGUCUGCUCAGAGUCUUUCCUGAUCCUCCAAGACAAUGUUACCCUUUUCAAAUGGGGAUAUUUAUAUUUGGAAGAAUUUGGGUUAAGAUUUGAUGUCAAAAUGCCUCCUCUUCUCCUAAAUUACUUGGCUACAUCAAUCAAAGAUUGUUACCUGAAACUCCCCAGGAGCAAGCUUGACUUCACUCAGCAACACCUCUGGGAAGACAUACUGGGUUCCAAAGGUGCCACUGAGAGAGAACAUUUCAAACCUGGUGGAAGCCGUGUCCACUGAACUACCACAGAUAAUACUCCCCUUCCACGGUGUGCAACCCAUCAAAUGCCCCAAGGGCGUAAAUUUCAUCAGCUCGCUUCUCAGACAUCUGGUAGCUUAGAUGACAGCAGAGAUUGUUCUGGCAAACAGUGUAAUUUCCUGUGAUUCCUUUGAGCUCCACAAAGGCUGACCGGGGACAAAGACGAGAGGAAAUCCAUACGUGGAACAUGACAGUAAAGACAUUUAAAAAUAGAAGUUCACAUAAACUGAAUUUUGAAAAGAAGAAAAGGUACAC
Molecule: long non-coding RNA, 588 nt
Organism: Peromyscus eremicus (cactus mouse)
Lineage: Eukaryota; Metazoa; Chordata; Mammalia; Rodentia; Cricetidae
Exons: 3
Source: RefSeq, a predicted model, not a curated record